CCUACGGGAGGCUGCAGUGAGGAAUAUUGGUCAAUGGACGAGAGUCUGAACCAGCCAAGUAGCGUGAAGGAUGACUGCCCUAUGGGUGGUAAACUUCUUUUAUAUGGGAAUAAAAUGUUCCACGUGUGGGAUUUUGUAUGUACCAUAUGAAUAAAGAUCGGCUAACUCCGUGCCAGCAGCCGCGGUAAUACGGAGGAUCCGAGCGUUAUCCGGAUUUAUUGGGUUUAAAGGGAGCGUAGGUGGAUUGUUAAGUCAGUUGUGAAAGUUUGCGGCUCAACCGUAAAAUUGCAGUUGAAACUGGCAGUCUUGAGUACAGUAGAGGUGGGCGGAAUUCGUGGUGUAGCGGUGAAAUGCUUAGAUAUCACGAAGAACUCCGAUUGCGAAGGCAGCUCACUGGACUGCAACUGACACUGAGGCUCGAAAGUGUGGGUAUCAAACAGGAUUAGAUACCCCUGUAGUC
This 460-nucleotide ribosomal RNA is filed under the name uncultured bacterium. RNAcentral's name for it is "partial 16S ribosomal RNA". It matches the Rfam family "Bacterial small subunit ribosomal RNA", at positions 338 to 795 of the family's 1533-position model. The record is from RNAcentral.